This 433-nucleotide ribosomal RNA is filed under the name uncultured bacterium. RNAcentral's name for it is "partial 16S ribosomal RNA". It matches the Rfam family "Bacterial small subunit ribosomal RNA", at positions 29 to 507 of the family's 1533-position model. The record is from RNAcentral.
AACGAACGCUGGCGGCAUGCCUAACACAUGCAAGUCGAACGAGACCUUCGGGUCUAGUGGCGCACGGGUGCGUAACGCGUGGGAACCUGCCUUUAGGUUCGGAAUAACUCAGAGAAAUUUGAGCUAAUACCGGAUGAUGUCUUCGGACCAAAGAUUUAUCGCCUUUAGAUGGGCCCGCGUUGGAUUAGCUAGUUGGUGGGGUAAAGGCCUACCAAGGCGACUAUCCAUAGCUGGUCUGAGAGGAUGAUCAGCCACACUGGGACUGAGACACGGCCCAGACUCCUACGGGAGGCAGCAGUGGGGAAUAUUGGACAAUGGGCGAAAGACUGAUCCAGCAAUGCCGCGUGAGUGAUGAAGGCCUGAGGGUUGUAAAGCUCUUUUACCCGAGAUGAUAAUGACAGUAUCGGGAGAAUAAGCUCCGGCUAACUCCGUG